UAAUACGUAGGGUGCGAGCGUUGUUCGGAAUUACUGGGCGUAAAGGGCGCGCAGGCGGAAUAGCAAGUCGGUGGUGAAAGCCCGGGGCUCAACCCCGGAGGGUCAUUCGAAACUGCUAAUCUAGAGAGGGUCAGGGGCCAGCAGAAUUCUUGGUGUAGAGGUGAAAUUCGUAGAUAUCAAGAGGAAUACCGGUGGCGAAGGCGGCUGGCUGGGGCCACUCUGACGCUGAGGCGCGAAAGCGUGGGGAGCAAACAGGAUUAGAUACCCUGGUAGUCCACGCCGUAAACGAUGAGCACUGGAUGUCCGGAGGGUUCGACCCUUCUGGGUGUCUCAGCUAACGCAUUAAGUGCUCCGCCUGGGGAGUACGGUCGCAAGACUA
This 379-nucleotide ribosomal RNA is filed under the name uncultured delta proteobacterium. Its description in RNAcentral is "bacterial SSU rRNA". It matches the Rfam family "Bacterial small subunit ribosomal RNA", at positions 521 to 896 of the family's 1533-position model. The record is from RNAcentral. Lineage: Bacteria; Deltaproteobacteria.